RNAcentral lists this ribosomal RNA (200 nucleotides) under uncultured eukaryote. Its description in RNAcentral is "partial 18S ribosomal RNA". It matches the Rfam family "Eukaryotic small subunit ribosomal RNA", at positions 588 to 791 of the family's 1831-position model. The record is from RNAcentral.
GCUCCAGUAGCGUAUACUAAUGUUGCUGCAGUUAAAAAAGCUCGUAGUUGGAUUUCUGGUUCAUCAUUGUGGUCCUGUGCGCCUUAGGGACAUUGAGUAUCGCAAUUGAUCUGCCAUCCUAUCAGAGUUUCUCUUGGUAACAGGAGUUAUUCUGGUUCUUUUACUUUGAAAAAAUUAGAGUGUUUAAAGCAAGCUUCGCG